GUCAAGUCAUCAUGGCCCUUACGGCCUGGGCUACACACGUGCUACAAUGGAAAGUACAGAGGGCCGCAAUGCCGCAAGGUGGAGCAAAUCCCAGAAAACUUUUCGUAGUCCGGAUCGGAGUCUGCAACUCGACUCCGUGAAGUCGGAAUCGCUAGUAAUCGCUGGUCAGCAACACAGCGGUGAAUCCGUUCCCGGGCCUU
RNAcentral lists this ribosomal RNA (200 nucleotides) under uncultured prokaryote. RNAcentral's name for it is "partial 16S ribosomal RNA". It matches the Rfam family "Bacterial small subunit ribosomal RNA", at positions 1184 to 1382 of the family's 1533-position model. The record is from RNAcentral.